AAAGUCGUAACAAGGUUUCCGUAGGUGAACCUGCGGAAGGAUCAUUAUUGAUUGCGAAUCGUUGUCUUCAGUGCUGGCCAGCUCUGGCAAGUGCACGUUGGCGGCUUUUCAUCCAAUACCCCCUGUGAACCUUUGGCCUCUUGCUAGCUUUGGCUGGCAGAGGAUUUUUACACCCACUCGAAUGUAAUGAAAUUAUUGUUGUGCGCAAGCACUACUGUACAACUUUCAACAACGGAUCUCUUGGCUCUCGCAUCGAUGAAGAACGCAGCGAAAUGCGAUAAGUAAUGUGAAUUGCAGAAUUCAGUGAAUCAUCGAAUCUUUGAACGCACCUUGCACCCUUUGGCAUUCCGAAGGGUAUGCUCGUUUGAGUGUCAUUGUACUCUCACACUUCUGAUCCUUUUGGAUUGGGAGCGGUGGACUUGGGUGUUGCUGCUUUACUGCGGCUCACCUCAAAUGCAUUAGUGCAACUCUUGGUUGGACAUAGUACGGCGUGAUAAGUAUCUUCGCCGGCACCUCGCAAGAGGGUGGCUGAUCAGGAGCUCUGUGCUCUCCAACUGUCUGCGGACAACAACUGACAACUUGACCUCAAAUCGAGUAGGACCACCCGCUGAACUUAAGCAUAUCAAUAAGCGGAGGAAAAGAAACUAACAAGG
This 653-nucleotide ribosomal RNA is filed under the name uncultured Sebacinaceae. RNAcentral's name for it is "eukaryotic LSU rRNA". The stretch from base 221 to 374 matches the Rfam family "5.8S ribosomal RNA". The record is from RNAcentral. Lineage: Eukaryota; Fungi; Basidiomycota; Agaricomycetes; Sebacinales; Sebacinaceae.